GUAUUUAACAUGGAUAACUGUGGGAAUUCUAGAGCUAAUACAUGCAGCAAGCCUUCACCCCUUGUGGGCAAAGGCGCAUUUAUUAUUUCAAAAACCAAUCGGUUGUAUUUUCGGAUAUAACCGUUAGCUUGGUGAGACUGAGUAACCACAGCAAAUCGUAUGGCCUUGUGCUCGACGAUCUGUCAGUCAAGCAACUGCCUUAUCAGCUUGUUGUUAGGUUAUAUGCCUAACAAGGCUUCAACGGGUAACGAACGAUCGGGGUCGGAUAUCGGAGAGGGAGCUUGAGAAACGGCUACCACUUCCAAGGAAGGCAGCAGGCGCGCAAAUUACCCACUCUCGGCAUGAGGAGGUAGCAAUAAAAUGUAUCGAUGCGGGGCCAUUAGUGCCUUCGUAAUCGGAAUGAGUACACUUUAAAUCCUAUAACAAGGACCUAUUGGAGGGCAAGUCUGGUGCCAGCAGCCGCGGUAAUUCCAGCUCCAAUAGCGUAUAUUAAUGCUGCUGCGGUUAAAAAGCUCGUAGUCGGAUCUGGGUUACCGGCGGGCAACUCAUGUUGUUUCAUACAACAUGUUGUUUGCUAUACGUGUCGCUUCGGCGGCGCUGCCAGUAUAGUGCUGUCUCUUUGUAGGCACGCUAUAUCGGUCGCCGGAACCACGGGCCGGGUUGGGCAGCAUGCUCUUCAUUGAGUGUGUUGUUCACUCGGUGCGUUUACUUUGAAAAAAUUGGAGUGCUCAAAGCAAGCGUACAGUCGCUAUGCGGCUUGAACAGUGGUGCAUGGAAUAAUGAAAUAGGGCCUCGGUUCUAUUUUGUUGGUUUUAAGAUAUCGAGGUAAUGAUUAAGAGGGACAGACGGGGACGUUUGUAUUGCGACGUUAGAGGUGAAAUUCUUGGAUCGUCGCAAGACACACUAAUGCGAAAGCAUUCGUCUAGAAUGUUUUC
Molecule: ribosomal RNA, 935 nt
Filed under: Testechiniscus spitsbergensis
Lineage: Eukaryota; Metazoa; Tardigrada; Heterotardigrada; Echiniscoidea; Echiniscidae
Description: SSU rRNA
Rfam family: Eukaryotic small subunit ribosomal RNA
Source: RNAcentral